AUGCAGUGUUCGUGUAUUUAUUUACUUAAUGGUGGCUGCGGCGGCCGCCCCGCCGUGGGCUUUCACCGCCGGCUGUCGCUGGAGGCAAACUACCUAGAUGGUUUCGCGGUGGCGAUGGAGGCGCUAGAUACCUGCUUUCUCGUGUGCCUUCUUGUCGCCUCUGCUCUUCCAAUGAUGCGGAUCCAGGAACAGAGUCCAACCCUCUCCCCUUCUAAUUCUUCCUUCGUGUUCUGCACUUCUUCUGCUUGCUCUUUGACAAACAUCAAAUUAUGUUUUUAUGUCUCAAUGUGUUCGGUUUCAAUUCCCAUGUGA
This 312-nucleotide ribosomal RNA is filed under the name Triticum aestivum (bread wheat). RNAcentral describes it as "partial small subunit ribosomal RNA". The record is from RNAcentral. Lineage: Eukaryota; Viridiplantae; Streptophyta; Magnoliopsida; Poales; Poaceae.